RNAcentral lists this long non-coding RNA (912 nucleotides) under Homo sapiens (human). Its description in RNAcentral is "HSALNT0213957". The record is from RNAcentral. Lineage: Eukaryota; Metazoa; Chordata; Mammalia; Primates; Hominidae.
GCGGGCGCCCCUCCCCCAGCCUCACUGCCGCUUUGCAGUUUGAUCUCAGACUGCUGUGCUAGCAAUCAGCGAGACUCCGUGGGCGUAGGACCCCCGCUCCCCACCCCCGAGCCAGGUGUGGGAUAUAAUCUUGUGGUGCACCGUUUUUUAAGCCCGUCGGAAAAGCGCAGUAUUCGGGUGGGAGUGACCCGAUUUUCCAGGUGCCGACCGUCACCCCUUUCUUUGACUAGGAAAGGGAACUGCCUGACCCCUUGCGCUUCCCGAGUGAGGCAAUGCCUCGCCCUGCUUCGGCUCGUGCAUGGUGCGUGCACCCACUGACCUGCGCCCACUGUCUGGCAUUCCCUAGUGAGAUGAACCCGGUACCUCAGAUGGAAAUGCAGAAAUCACCCAUCUUCUGAGUCGCUCACGCUGGGAGCUGUAGACCGGAGCUGUUCCUAUUCGGCCAUCUUGGCUCCUCCCCUGACAUGAAGAGCACAAAAUUUUAAGACAAAAACUGAAAAAAACUUCCAAGUUUACAAAUAUUUUGGAAAUGUAAGGAGAUAGAUAAGAUUCGAAAGUUACAAUUUCUAUUGAAAACGUCAGUGCUCUAAAUUAUGGCACACAAGAUUUGAAUGAAUCAUAGAGUAGCCAAAUCAUGUAUCCAGAUCUUCUGGAAGACCUGUGGCAGUCUAUUGAAGAAGUGAGCAGUAGGCUUUACAGGAAUUGUGGUGCUGGUAUCUGCUUGGCUUCCAGAGACACCUCAGGAAGGUUACAAUCAUGGCGGAAGUUGAAGGGAAACAGGAACGUCAUAUGGAAAAAACCAGAGCAAGAGAGAGAGAGAACAUGGCGGGGGGGGGGGGGGCAGAGGGAGGAGCCACACACCUUUAACCCUUUUCCUGUUUAAGAAUAAAAAACCCUGCAGCUCACUGCCAA